RNAcentral lists this transfer RNA (75 nucleotides) under Verrucomicrobiales bacterium. RNAcentral describes it as "tRNA-Met". It matches the Rfam family "tRNA". From Rfam's summary of the family: Transfer RNA (tRNA) molecules are approximately 80 nucleotides in length. Their secondary structure includes four short double-helical elements and three loops (D, anti-codon, and T loops). Lineage: Bacteria; Pseudomonadati; Verrucomicrobiota; Verrucomicrobiia; Verrucomicrobiales. The record is from RNAcentral.
GGCACGAUAAUUUAGGGUUAGACCAGAGGACUCAUAACCCUAAGGAUGGGCGCUCAAAUCUCCCUCGUGCGACCA